GGCGGUGAUUAAUUUUCUUUACCAUAACACAUGAUUAUAAUAGAAAAGACGUCAACACAUUUGGAAAAAUCCGAUGAGAAUUACAAAUAUAACAUUAAACAUUUAAACUGAAUACAUGAAUUUGGGAUAAAUAAGUACCGUAACACGUCUUAUGGUAAUGCGAAUUCACACUCAGCAAAACAGUCACAAUCGGGAAUAAGUCACGUUUGGUAAUUAAAAGAUUAGACGACGUAAUGACAAACCACAAUCUACCAUGUAGUAAAACUGUCCUUAGCUAGUUUGGUCAAAGACACAUCGUAUGGAUCCACCAAUUGGUGAUGAUGUCCAUAAAAUUUACGGAGUGUCAAUUUUAAUUUGUCCUCCUCAUAACUUUGUUGGACUCGUUUCUGCGUAAGGAGCUUUUUGACCUUCAAAACCUUUUUGAACACUAAUGAAGGUUAUCUAAAAUACACGUGCUUUGGGUUUAAAAUUCUGAAUCAUGUUUGAAAGUAUACUAUGCACUUCUUGAUAAAGGAAAUGUUUUAGGACAAUCAGUUACAAGAAAAUGUAGAAUAACAAAAAUACCGAACUGUGAAGAAAAUUCAAAAUGGAAACUCCCUAAUCAAAUGGAAUAAUCAAAAGCUCAAACACAUCAAACAAAUAGACAACAACUGUCAUAAUACUGACUUCUUACAGACAGUUCUUAUGUGUAGAAGAUGGUGGGUAAAACCUGUUUUUUUUAGCUAGCAUAACCUCUCACUUGUAUGAUAAUCGCACAAAAUUCCAUUAUUUUAACAACAAUGUUUGUAGAAAACACACCGACAUAAUAGGCGAAAAUAUAAAAAAUAGGGGCACAGCAGUUAACAUUGUGUCAUCAUCUUAAUCACUAUAAAAACAAACAUAAACAAUGGCAAAAUAACACAAUGACGGAAUGUUUAAGUACAUAUCCGCGUCAUAUGUAAGAGAAAAAAAAAACACAAAAAGGCAUAUAUAUACAAAGCAUAUUAGCAAAAAUGAAAGACCAAAUUACAGAAAGUAUCAUAGAACAAUAACACAAUGACGGGAUGCAUAAGUAUAGAGGCAG
This 1063-nucleotide long non-coding RNA is filed under the name Mytilus galloprovincialis (Mediterranean mussel). The record is from RNAcentral. Lineage: Eukaryota; Metazoa; Mollusca; Bivalvia; Mytilida; Mytilidae.